This is a long non-coding RNA of Conger conger (European conger), 828 nucleotides long. RefSeq lists it as uncharacterized. Lineage: Eukaryota; Metazoa; Chordata; Actinopteri; Anguilliformes; Congridae. The transcript has 3 exons. The record is from RefSeq and is a predicted model, not a curated record.
AUAGUUUGGCGGCCGAGGAAUUUGUUUUGCGUGGUUUUUCUUUUGUCUCUUUUUUUUCCAAAUCAUAAUUAACUUGAACUUCCCGUGAAAGCACGCCGCCGCAGAAGGCAGGAUGAUUGGGCUGGCCUUGGUAACAAUAAGGGGGCUGUCUUCCAACAGAGCCUGAAGUCACAAUAUGCACAGAUGUGUCCUGCCUGGAGCUGCAGAUAUCCAUCUUCAUGAAGAACCAUAGACAGUAGGUGGACGAGCUCCUGGAGCCCAAGGAAAAAUCGUCUUUCUCCACUUGAUUCAGUUUACACCAAUUCGUCACUCUCCCAUUUGGUUUGCAUGGGCCUCUGGCUACCUUCCAGCUUCUGAUGGACAAGCUGCUAAGGCCGCAUGCUGCAUAUGCUGCUGCCUAUCUGGGUGACAUUAUCAUCGGCCAUUUCAGCAUGUCCCCAACCUUAGUCCAAAAAGCAGGUGAGGUCAUUCCUGGGGCUAGCAAACUACUAUUGGCGGUUUAUUCUGGAUUUUUUGCUUUGGUAAGAGUGAAAACAUUUCAGGAAACUUCUGUCAGGAUAAUUCCCUGCGGACUCCCUGGUUAGCAGACCGGUUUAACGCCAUCCAUUUUCUGCCCAUGCCCUGAUGCAAGCUCGAGGCUUCGAUUCAUCAUCAAAACCUACUUGAUCUGCAUAUUAAUAUACGUACAUAUCCUUGCUUGAACUUUCUAUUUUAUCAUCUGCUUUUUACUUCAGCCUAUAAUCAACCCAGCCACACUAUUUAUUUGCUCCUUUAUUGUAGAUAUCCGAUCCACCUACCCAUUUAGCUUAACUUUAACUAUUGACACCU